AUUGAACGCUGGCGGCAGGCCUAACACAUGCAAGUCGAACGGUAGCACAGAGAGCUUGCUCUCGGGUGACGAGUGGCGGACGGGUGAGUAAUGACUGGGAAACUGCCCGCUGGAGGGGGAUAACUACCGGAAACGGUAGCUAACAACGCAUAACGUCGCCAGACCAAAGUGGGGGACCUUCGGGCCUCCCACCAUCGGAUGUGCCCAGAUGGGAUUAGCUAGUAGGUGGGGUAAUGGCUCACCUAGGCGACGAUCACUAGCUGGUCUGAGAGGAUGAACAGCCACACUGGAACUGAGACACGGUCCAGACUCCUACGGGAGGCAGCAGUGGGGAAUAUUGCACAAUGGGCGCAAGCCUGAUGCAGCCAUGCCGCGUGUAUGAAGAAGGCCUUCGGGUUGUAAAGUACUUUCAGCGGGGAGGAAGGCCGUGAAGUUAAUAGCUUCACCGAUUGACGUUACCCGCAGAAGAAGCACCGGCUAACUCCGUGCCAGCAGCCGCCGUAA
Molecule: ribosomal RNA, 504 nt
Filed under: uncultured bacterium
Lineage: Bacteria
Description: partial 16S ribosomal RNA
Rfam family: Bacterial small subunit ribosomal RNA
Source: RNAcentral